RNAcentral lists this long non-coding RNA (675 nucleotides) under Homo sapiens (human). RNAcentral's name for it is "HSALNT0320049". The record is from RNAcentral. Lineage: Eukaryota; Metazoa; Chordata; Mammalia; Primates; Hominidae.
GCUCUUUUGAGGAAAUAGGAGACCCACUCUUCUGGCAAUGACUAGAUGAAUCAUUUUGUCGAAAAGGCCAAUGACACUGGGUAGAAGAGUGAGUUCACUGAAACCAUGGAUGUUUGCCCUUAUUGUCAGAGCUGUUGUGUUGAUUCUGGUGAUACUGAUUGGUCUCCUUGUUUAUUUUUUGGCAUAUGGCCUGAAGUUUUACUAUUACCAGACCUCCUUCCAGAUCCCCAGUAUUGAAUAUAAUCCUGAUUUUUCAGUAGAACACUCAAAACUUAGCACCGACCUGAAACAAAAAGUCAGUAACGAGCAUCAAAAUCUGGCCAAAAGAAUUUAUUUAGAGCCUAAAAAGCUGAUCUUUCAAUCACAUCCAUGAGGAUGAUAACUGAGCUGGAAUGAUACUGAGUGAUGAAUAUUUCAGAGAUCCAAUUUAAACCAUCAUUACAUAAAGUGUCAAGUUGUCAACUUUAGGCCAAGUAAUGACAAUUUGAAAGCAGAUGUAUUGCUUAAAUUUCAGUUUAUUCCUAACAAUGAGAACGCAAUAAAAACACAAGCUGAUAACAUUUUGCAUCAGAAGUUGAAAUCAAAUGAAAGCUUCUUGAAGACAGACACUUCAUUACCUUAUCUUAGAGGCAAGGAAUACUAUUUUUCUUUCAUAUUAUAGUUACUCAUUUUAAU